UAGCCCAGGGGAGCGGAGCGGGGCCUGGACCAGCCUGCCGCUCUGCUUGGUUGCCAGUGGGAUGGGGACGGGGCUGAGCAGCGAGCUGGGAAGCAGCAGUCAGCGCGGGGGGGUGAAGGCAGGAACCUGGACCAUCUUGGAGACCGUGGAAGCCCUGGGGUCCUGCCUUGAGGACACAGACCCUGGGACGCGAGGGCGAGGCCUCCAGCUGCUGUCCCAGGUCCUGCUCCAGUGUCACUCCGUGCUCCGAGAGGAGGAAGGUGGGGGAUGGGCCUGCCCCAGGCUGCCGUCCUCGCGUGGCGUCACUGCGGUCCUUGCCGGGGAGCGAGUGCAGCUCCGUGCGCACACUGCUCUAGUAGCUGGGCUGCUCUCAUCCACGUCGGCCUGGCCCGGCCGUAGCACAGCCCUCGCCUGGGGGCGCUCCAUGCUUCCGCGGGGCGCAGCACAGGCCGGGGCAGCCUGGCAGGAGUAGCAGGGGACGGGCCCGAGGGGGAAGUGCAGGCCAGGGACGGC
Pelodiscus sinensis (Chinese soft-shelled turtle) is the source of this 513-nucleotide non-coding RNA. The record is from RefSeq and is a predicted model, not a curated record. Lineage: Eukaryota; Metazoa; Chordata; Testudines; Trionychidae.